RNAcentral lists this transfer RNA (68 nucleotides) under uncultured Oribacterium sp. It matches the Rfam family "tRNA". From Rfam's summary of the family: Transfer RNA (tRNA) molecules are approximately 80 nucleotides in length. Their secondary structure includes four short double-helical elements and three loops (D, anti-codon, and T loops). Lineage: Bacteria; Bacillati; Bacillota; Clostridia; Lachnospirales; Lachnospiraceae. The record is from RNAcentral.
GCGAGAUAGCCAAGUGGUAAGGCGUGGGUCUGCAACACCCUGAGCGCCGGUUCGAAUCCGACUCUCGC